GGCCAAUUAGCUCAGUCAGUAGAGCGUAGUGCUAACAACGCUAAGGUUGUGGGUUCGAUUCCCUUUCAGUCCC
Molecule: transfer RNA, 73 nt
Organism: Apaloderma vittatum (bar-tailed trogon)
Lineage: Eukaryota; Metazoa; Chordata; Aves; Trogoniformes; Trogonidae
Rfam family: tRNA
About the family: Transfer RNA (tRNA) molecules are approximately 80 nucleotides in length.
Source: Rfam